This 1004-nucleotide long non-coding RNA is filed under the name Heterocephalus glaber (naked mole-rat). RNAcentral describes it as "lncRNA (ENSHGLG00100035709.1)". Lineage: Eukaryota; Metazoa; Chordata; Mammalia; Rodentia; Bathyergidae. The record is from RNAcentral.
GGUUCUUGUUAAGGGUGGGGGAGAUCUUAUCACUUUCCUCCUUGGGUUGCUGGGUGAACUGACUGAGAGGAGGCAAGUGACAGGCUUAUCACAGCGCCAGGCACAUAUAAGUGCUCAUUAAAUACUAGUCGGAGCUGUUACAAUUUCUCAAUUUACCUCAGGUGUUUUGAAAGUACACUGUGGAUGCUGUGGUGAAUGACACAAUUGGAGAGAAACCCGUACAAGAGGAAGUCCUGUCAGAAGAUGACUGUGGUCCUCCUGAUGAAUGAUAGUUGUGGUUUGGAAAUGAAAGGUGACAGCAGAGAGGGGAAGGAGUGGAUCAAUUCCAGUCAUACAUAAGAAGCUAAUGUGAAGAGAAUGAGCGAAGGAGGUGAUAAUCAACAAUGCAGUCCCUCAAUUAGCCAACUGACAUGCUGGAGAUGUACAAUGGAGAGCUCUCUGUGGCAAAAAACCGACAGCUCUGCCCAACAGCUAGUGAGGACCAGAGACCUACCAUCACCAAGUGAGGGAGUUUAGAACAAGCCUUCAGAUGACUGCAGCCCUGGCAGACAUUUUGACUGAAACCUUGUGAGAAGCCAUGACCCAGAAGUACCCACUAAGUAGUUUCUGAAUUCCUGGCCCACAGAAAUGGUGAGAUUGGGUUCAUGAAAUGCUCCAAUAAUGAAAUCUUUGAAAAUUCUGCUCUGCCACUGACUGCCGGAAUCUGGAAUGUGCCCCUUGGAUCACCGCUGUCACUGGCUGCCCACCAGUUCCCAUGACUUCAUGGAACACAUGACUGGACCAAUUCUCAGAAGGGAGACAGCUGCAGAAAAUCAACGGUGGUAUUACAGACGGCAACUCACUGUGAAACACGAAGGGACAUUAGCUGUCCAAUCAUUUGUGCGUCCAAAACCCAGCCAAGGCAUCACGCCUUCCAGAUGAAGGGAUCGUCGGCAUCCAGGAGGCUGCUGACGGCAAAUUACCUUGGGUCUGGGAGCAUCAAGCCCAUCAUGCGCUGUUCCCUG